RNAcentral lists this ribosomal RNA (395 nucleotides) under uncultured eukaryote. RNAcentral's name for it is "partial 18S ribosomal RNA". It matches the Rfam family "Eukaryotic small subunit ribosomal RNA", at positions 592 to 976 of the family's 1831-position model. The record is from RNAcentral.
CAAUAGCGUAUAUUAAAGUUGUUGCAGUUAAAAAGCUCGUAGUUGGAUUUCUGGGUUUGUGUACUGGUCUAGCGGUUAUCCGUUUUGUACUGGUGCGUGGGCUCAUUCCUUCGGAGGAUGCCUGUUCGGCAUUAAUUUGUCGGCGGGGUUUCAUUUGUGCUCCGAUCGUUUACUUUGAACAAAUUAGAGUGUUCAAAGCAGGCCUUUGUGCCUUGAAUACAUUAGCAUGGAAUGAUGGAAUAGGACUCUUUGUUCUAUUUUGUUGGUUUCUAGGGAAAGAGUAAUGAUUAAUAGGGAUAGUUGGGGGCAUUCAUAUUCCGUUGUCAGAGGUGAAAUUCUUGGAUUUACGGAAGACGAACUACUGCGAAAGCAUUUACCAAGGAUGUUUUCAUUAA